Molecule: ribosomal RNA, 708 nt
Filed under: uncultured Nitrospira sp.
Lineage: Bacteria; Pseudomonadati; Nitrospirota; Nitrospiria; Nitrospirales; Nitrospiraceae
Description: bacterial SSU rRNA
Rfam family: Bacterial small subunit ribosomal RNA
Source: RNAcentral
AGAGUUUGAUCCUGGCUCAGAACGAACGCUGGCGGCGCGCCUAAUACAUGCAAGUCGAGCGAGAAGGUGUAGUGAUACACUUGUAAAGCGGCGAACGGGUGAGGAAUACAUGGGUAAUCUACCAUCGAGUGGGGAAUAACCAACCGAAAGGUUGGCUAAUACCGCGUACGCCUCCGGAUCUUCGGGUUCGGAGGGAAAGCUGCGCUGUGAGUGUAGCGCUCUUUGAUGAGCUCAUGUCCUAUCAGCUUGUUGGUAGGGUAACGGCCUACCAAGGCUUUGACGGGUAGCUGGUCUGAGAGGACGAUCAGCCACACUGGCACUGCGACACGGGCCAGACUCCUACGGGAGGCAGCAGUAAGGAAUAUUGCGCAAUGGGCGAAAGCCUGACGCAGCGACGCCGCGUGGGGGAUGAAGGUCUUCGGAUUGUAAACCCCUUUCGGGAGGGAAGAUGGAGCGAGCAAUCGUUCGGACGGUACCUCCAGAAGCAGCCACGGCCAACUUCGUGCCAGCAGCCGCGGUAAUACGAAGGUGGCAAGCGUUGUUCGGAUUCACUGGGCGUACAGGGUGUGUAGGCGGUUUGGUAAGCCUUCUGUUAAAGCUUCGGGCCCAACCCGGAAAGCGCAGAGGGUACUGCCAGGCUAGAGGGUGGGAGAGGAGCGCGGAAUUCCCGGUGUAGCGGUGAAAUGCGUAGAGAUCGGGAGGAAGGCC